UACGAAGGGUGCAAGCGUUAAUCGGAAUUACUGGGCGUAAAGCGUGCGUAGGCGGUCUUUUAAGUCCGUUGUGAAAGCCCCGGGCUCAACCUGGGAAUGGCGAUGGAUACUGGCUCGCUAGAGUGCGGUAGAGGAGAGUGGAAUUCCCGGUGUAGCAGUGAAAUGCGUAGAGAUCGGGAGGAACAUCAGUUGCGAAGGCGGCUCUCUGGACCAGCACUGACACUGAGGCACGAAAGCGUGGGGAGCAAACAGG
RNAcentral lists this ribosomal RNA (253 nucleotides) under uncultured bacterium. RNAcentral's name for it is "partial 16S ribosomal RNA". It matches the Rfam family "Bacterial small subunit ribosomal RNA", at positions 524 to 776 of the family's 1533-position model. The record is from RNAcentral.